GAUCAACGCUGGCGGCGUGCCUCAGACAUGCAAGUCGAACGCGAAAGGCUCCUUCGGGGCCGAGUAGAGUGGCGCACGGGUGAGUAACACGUAGGUAAUUUGCCUUUGGGUGGGGAAUAACUCAGGGAAACUUGAGCUAAUACCGCAUAAUGCAGCGGCUCGACAUCGAGACAGUUGUUAAAGCGGGGGAUCGCAAGACCUCGCGCCUGAAGAGAAGCCUGCGGCAGAUUAGCUAGUUGGUAGGGUAAUGGCCUACCAAGGCGACGAUCUGUAACCGGCCUGAGAGGGCGGUCGGUCACACUGACACUGACAUACGGGUCAGACUCCUACGGGAGGCAGCAGUCGGGAAUUUUGGGCAAUGGGCGCAAGCCUGACCCAGCAACGCCGCGUGAAGGAUGAAAUCCCUCGGGAUGUAAACUUCGCAAGAAUGGGAAGAAUAAGUAGGGGACAAUA
RNAcentral lists this ribosomal RNA (453 nucleotides) under uncultured bacterium. RNAcentral's name for it is "bacterial SSU rRNA". It matches the Rfam family "Bacterial small subunit ribosomal RNA", at positions 28 to 465 of the family's 1533-position model. The record is from RNAcentral.